This 253-nucleotide ribosomal RNA is filed under the name uncultured bacterium. Its description in RNAcentral is "partial 16S ribosomal RNA". It matches the Rfam family "Bacterial small subunit ribosomal RNA", at positions 524 to 776 of the family's 1533-position model. The record is from RNAcentral.
UACAGAGGGUGCGAGCGUUGUCCGGAAUCACUGGGCGUAAAGGGCGCGUAGGCGGCUUGACAAGUCACUUGUGAAAUCUCCGGGCUUAACUCGGAACGGCCAAGUGAAACUGUCAUGCUAGAGUGCAGAAGGGGCAAUCGGAAUUCUUGGUGUAGCGGUGAAAUGCGUAGAUAUCAAGAGGAACACCUGAGGUGAAGACGGGUUGCUGGGCUGACACUGACGCUGAGGCGCGAAAGCCAGGGGAGCAAACGGG